Molecule: ribosomal RNA, 253 nt
Filed under: uncultured bacterium
Lineage: Bacteria
Description: partial 16S ribosomal RNA
Rfam family: Bacterial small subunit ribosomal RNA
Source: RNAcentral
UACGGGGGGGGCAAGCGUUGUUCGGAAUUACUGGGCGUAAAGGGCUCGUAGGCGGCCAACUAAGUCAGACGUGAAAUCCCUCGGCUUAACCGGGGAACUGCGUCUGAUACUGGAUGGCUUGAGUUCGGGAGAGGGAUGCGGAAUUCCAGGUGUAGCGGUGAAAUGCGUAGAUAUCUGGAGGAACACCGGUGGCGAAGGCGGCAUCCUGGACCGACACUGACGCUGAGGAGCGAAAGCGUGGGGAGCAAACAGG